This 496-nucleotide ribosomal RNA is filed under the name uncultured bacterium. Its description in RNAcentral is "partial 16S ribosomal RNA". It matches the Rfam family "Bacterial small subunit ribosomal RNA", at positions 28 to 507 of the family's 1533-position model. The record is from RNAcentral.
GAUGAACGCUGGCGGCGUGCCUAAUACAUGCAAGUCGAGCGAACAGACGAGGAGCUUGCUCCUCUGACGUUAGCGGCGGACGGGUGAGUAACACGUGGAUAACCUACCUAUAAGACUGGGAUAACUUCGGGAAACCGGAGCUAAUACCGGAUAAUAUAUUGAACCGCAUGGUUCAAUAGUGAAAGACGGUUUUGCUGUCACUUAUAGAUGGAUCCGCGCCGCAUUAGCUAGUUGGUAAGGUAACGGCUUACCAAGGCAACGAUGCGUAGCCGACCUGAGAGGGGGAUCGCCCAAACGGGAACGGGGACCGGGUCCAGAUCCCUAGGGAAGGCAGCAGUAGGGAAUCUUCCGCAAUGGGCGAAAGCCGGACGGAGCAACGCCGCGUGGGGGAUGAAGGUCUUCGGAUGGUAAACCUCUGUUAUUAGGGAAGAACAAAUGUGUAAGUAACUAUGCAGGUCUUGACGGUACCUAUCAGAAAGCCACGGCUAACUACGUG